This 85-nucleotide transfer RNA is filed under the name Puniceicoccales bacterium. RNAcentral's name for it is "tRNA-Leu". It matches the Rfam family "tRNA". Rfam says of the family: Transfer RNA (tRNA) molecules are approximately 80 nucleotides in length. Their secondary structure includes four short double-helical elements and three loops (D, anti-codon, and T loops). The record is from RNAcentral. Lineage: Bacteria; Pseudomonadati; Verrucomicrobiota; Opitutia; Puniceicoccales.
GCCCGGAUGGCGGAAUUGGCAGACGCGCUUGACUCAAAAUCAAGUUCCGAAAGGAGUGUGGGUUCGACCCCCUCUCCGGGUACCA